UCAGACGAUGCGUCAUGCAUAUCAAUAAGCGGAGGAAAAGAAACUAACUAGGAUUCCCUCAGUAACGGCGAGUGAAGCGGGAAGAGCUCAAAUUUGAAAUCUUCAAGGUUCUACCUUGACGAAUUGUAGUUUAAAGAAGUGUUUUCUGUUGGAGUUUUGGUAAAAGUUCUUUGGAAUAGGACAUCAUAGAGGGUGAGAAUCCCGUAUUUGACCAUUAUUUCCAGCUUUGUGAUACACUUUCAAAGAGUCGGAUUGUUUGGGAAUGCAGUCCAAAAUGGGUGGUAAAUUUCAUCUAAAGCUAAAUAUUGGCGAAGAGACCGAUAGCGAACAAGUACCGUGAGGGAAAGAUGAAAAGAACUUUGAAAAGAGAGUUAAACAGUACGUGAAAUUGUCAAAAGGGAAGCGUUUGACACCAGUGUUGUUUUCUCGAAAAUCAAUUAAAAAAGGCAGGAUUUUGUGUUGUAUUGACUUUAUCAGCUUUCUGCACUCUUUUCUUGUCUUUUUUUAAUGCACUUUUCGUUUAACAAGUCAACAUCAAUUUCUUUUGUUGUAAAAGGGUCAUUGGAAGGUGGCUUUCUUUUCGGAGAAAGUGUUUAUAGUCUUUGGCCUCUGCAAUCGGAGAGAUUGAGGUCUGCAGCGUAGAUCCUUCGGGGUUAGAUACAUUUGUGCUAAGUUAUAGCCUUUCAUAGACAACUUGUUGACUAUGAUCAGUCAUGUAGCUUACUCGCUUAUGCUAUUUUACCUACGCUUAGGAUGUUGAUCUACAGAGCGAGAGU
Molecule: ribosomal RNA, 776 nt
Filed under: uncultured Neocallimastigales
Lineage: Eukaryota; Fungi; Neocallimastigomycota; Neocallimastigomycetes; Neocallimastigales
Description: partial large subunit ribosomal RNA
Rfam family: Eukaryotic large subunit ribosomal RNA
Source: RNAcentral